This 495-nucleotide ribosomal RNA is filed under the name uncultured bacterium. RNAcentral describes it as "partial 16S ribosomal RNA". It matches the Rfam family "Bacterial small subunit ribosomal RNA", at positions 28 to 507 of the family's 1533-position model. The record is from RNAcentral.
GACGAACGCUGGCGGCGUGCCUAAUACAUGCAAGUAGAACGCUGAAGGAGGAGCUUGCUUCUCUGGAUGAGUUGCGAACGGGUGAGUAACGCGUAGGUAACCUGCCUGGUAGCGGGGGAUAACUAUUGGAAACGAUAGCUAAUACCGCAUAAGAGUAGAUGUUGCAUGACAUUUGCUUAAAAGGUGCAAUUGCAUCACUACCAGAUGGACCUGCGUUGUAUUAGCUAGUUGGUGGGGUAACGGCUCACCAAGGCGACGAUACAUAGCCGACCUGAGAGGGUGAUCGGCCACACUGGGACGGAGACACGGCCCAGACUCCUACGGGAAGCAGCAGUAGGGAAUCUUCGGCAAUGGACGGAAGUCUGACCGAGCAACGCCGCGUGAGGGAAGAAGGUUUUCGGAUCGUAAAGCUCUGUUGUAAGAGAAGAACGAGUGUGAGAGUGAAAAGUUCACACUGUGACGGUAUCUUACCAGAAAGGGACGGCUAACUACGUG